Molecule: ribosomal RNA, 259 nt
Filed under: uncultured bacterium
Lineage: Bacteria
Description: partial 16S ribosomal RNA
Rfam family: Bacterial small subunit ribosomal RNA
Source: RNAcentral
UGGCGGGACGGGUGAAGUAACGCGUGGGAACCUGCCCUGUACAGGGGGAUAACACUUAGAAAUAGGUGCUAAUACCGCAUAAGCGCACGGUUCCGCAUGGAACAGUGUGAAAAACUCCGGUGGUAUACGAUGGAUCCGCGUCUGAUUAGCCAGUUGGUGGGAUAACGGCCCACCAAAGCGACGAUCAGUAGCCGGCCUGAGAGGGUGAACGGCCACAUUGGGACUGAGACACGGCCCAAACUCCUACGGAAGGCAGCAG